Long non-coding RNA from Drosophila sulfurigaster albostrigata, 1120 nucleotides. RefSeq lists it as uncharacterized. The record is from RefSeq and is a predicted model, not a curated record. Lineage: Eukaryota; Metazoa; Arthropoda; Insecta; Diptera; Drosophilidae. The transcript has 2 exons.
AACACCACUUGAAAUAUUAAGCAAAAUGAACUUCACGUGGGGACUACUUUUGAUUAUUGGCGCUGCCUUGGCAGGAAAUCCUUUGGACGAGUGGUUGGCACCAAGUGACAUUCAAGAAUGAGAUGAAUAAUAAAAAAAAAAAUUGUAAAAAUAUGUAAAUCUCAAAAUAUACAACUUACAGAACAUUACAUUAACUGUAUUAUAUUUAAUAAUAAAACAAGUAAGAAAGAUACCCGCUACCAUUUUGAAUAAAAGCUAAAAAGCGUGCUUUUAACAUACGAAUGUAGUAUAUGCUUAUAUAGUAGAGCCGCAGAACACAACUUUAAAUAUUAAGCAAGAUGAACUUUACUUGGGGACUACUUUUGAUUAUUGGCGCUGCCUUGGCAGGAACAACUGCCAAUUGGAUAGCACCAAGUGACAUUAAAGAAUGAAAAUAAAUAAUAUUAAUUCAUUGUUAUAUAUAUGAAAUGAAAAGUUUGCAAAAUAAAGAGCCUACAAAACAUUACAUUAAUUGUUUUUGAAAAACGUGAACAUAACAAUAUGAAUAUAAAUUAAAAAAAAAUACAUUACUCAUUUUCUUAUAAGUAAACGCACUAAAUUUAACUCUUUUAUUUUUAUUGUGUUCUGGACUCUAUUCUGAAACUUCUGCAGAUAUCAACUAAGAUUAAUUAAAAUUCGGAAUGUUUUUCUAUAGUAUUUUAUGAAUGUCUAGCAAUAAGUCUCCACUUUCAUGCCGUUGUGUACUGCCCUCUACAUACAUACUUGUACAUAUAUACGAGUACAUACAUUUUCUUGUUAUAUAAUAUAUCGACAAGAAAAGAUGUUUCAAAAUAAAAGAUUGCUAAUGUAAAUUGAAUGACUAGCCGUAUCUAAUUCAUAAUUUCAUUCGUCAAACCGUAAAAAAGUAUAUAAGAGACGCGAAAUCGGGACUUUGUAUAUACAGCAAAAUGAACUUCUCUUGGGGACUACUUUUGAUUAUUGGAGCUGCAGUGGCAGGAGUUAAUUGGGAUUACGAUUUGGCCCCCGGUGAUAUUCAAGAAUGAGUCGCAUAACUAAUGGCAGUCUAAUACAAAUUUGUUAAAUACAAAUAUGAGCAUAUCGAAAUAAACAGAUCAUACAA